GACGAACGCUGGCGGCGGGCUUAACACAUGCAAGUCGAACGGAAAGGCCCUGCUUUUGUGGGGUGCUCGAGUGGCGAACGGGUGAGUAACACGUGAGUAACCUGCCCUUGACGUUGGGAUAACUUCAGGAAACUUGGGCUAAUACCGGAUAGGAGCUCCUGCUGCAUGGUGGGGGUUGGAAAGUUUCGGCGGUUGGGGAUGGACUCGCGGCUUAUCAGCUUGUUGGUGGGGUAGUGGCUUACCAAGGCUGUGACGGGUAGCCGGCCUGAGAGGGUGACCGGCCACAUUGGGACUGAGCUGCGGCCCAGACUACUACGGGAGGCAGGAGUGGGGAAUAUUGCACAAUGGGAGGAAGCCUGAUGCAGCAACGCCGCGUGCGGGAUGACGGCCUUCGCGUUGUAAACCGCUUUCGCCUGUGACGAAGCGUGAGUGACGGUAAUGGGUAAAGAAGCACCGGCUAACUACGUG
Molecule: ribosomal RNA, 468 nt
Filed under: uncultured bacterium
Lineage: Bacteria
Description: partial 16S ribosomal RNA
Rfam family: Bacterial small subunit ribosomal RNA
Source: RNAcentral